This 468-nucleotide ribosomal RNA is filed under the name uncultured bacterium. RNAcentral's name for it is "partial 16S ribosomal RNA". It matches the Rfam family "Bacterial small subunit ribosomal RNA", at positions 28 to 507 of the family's 1533-position model. The record is from RNAcentral.
GACGAACGCUGGCGGCGUGCUUAACACAUGCAAGUCGAACGGAAAGGCCCUGCUUGUGUGGGGUGCUCGAGUGGCGAACGGGUGAGUAACACGUGAGUAACCUGCCCUUGACUUUGGGAUAACUUCAGGAAACUGGAGCUAAUACCGGAUAGGAGCCCCCGCUGCAUGGAGGGGGGUGGAAAGUUGCGGCGGUUGGGGCUGGACGCGCGGCUUAUCAGCUUGUUGGUGGGGUAGUGGCUUACCAAGGCUUUGACGGGUAGCCGGCCUGGGAGGGUGACCGGCCACCAUGGGCCUGCGGUACGGCCCAGACUGCUACGGGAGGCAGCAGUGGGGAAUAUUGCACAAUGGGCGGAAGCCUGAUGCAGCAACGCCGCGUGCGGGAUGACGGCCUUCGGGUUGUAAACCGCUUUCGCCUGUGACGAAGCGUGAGUGACGGUAAUGGGUAAAGAAGCACCGGCUAACUACGUG